This 468-nucleotide ribosomal RNA is filed under the name uncultured bacterium. RNAcentral's name for it is "partial 16S ribosomal RNA". It matches the Rfam family "Bacterial small subunit ribosomal RNA", at positions 28 to 507 of the family's 1533-position model. The record is from RNAcentral.
GACGAACGCUGGCGGCGUGCUUAACACAUGCAAGUCGAACGGAAAGGCCCUGCUUUUGUGGGGUGCUCGAGUGGCGAACGGGUGAGUAACACGUGAGUAACCUGCCCUUGACUUUGGGAUAACUUCAGGAAACUGGGGCUAAUACCGGAUAGGAGCUCCUGCUGCAUGGUGGGGGUUGGAAAGUUUCGGCGGUUGGGGAUGGACUCGCGGCUUAUCAGCUUGUUGGUGGGGUAGUGGCUUACCAAGGCUUUGACGGGUAGCCGGCCUGAGAGGGUGACCGGCCACAUUGGGACUGAGAUACGGCCCAGACUCCUACGGGAGGCAGCAGUGGGGAAUAUUGCACAAUGGGCGGAAGUCUGAUGCAGCAACGCUGCGUGCGGGAUGACGGCCUUCGGGUUGUAAACCGCUUUCGCCUGUGACGAAGCGUGAGUGACGGUAAUGGGUAAAGAAGCACCGGCUAACUACGUG